ACUUUAGCUAAGAACAUGACUCUAGCAUUAGUGUUCUCUCAGAAUCUCUCGUCAGACUCCUCUCCUUUGGUAUUUUUCUAAGAACGAAGAUGAGGAAUGUGUUGUUGAAGCCAGAUGAUACUACUUUUGUUAAAGACGAAGAUACAAAGUCCGGCCGCAUUCAAGAGUCAAGAAGAUUCGCCUCCUGUUUUCUGCAUGCAACAAUUGUACAAUCAAUGUCAAUUAUCAGCCUUAAUGGUUUGAACUUUGAACUGUGCCAAUAUCCUGAACUUUGAACUGUGCCAAUAUCCAGAUAUUGGCACUAACCACAGUGCCAAUAUCUGAAUAAUGGCACUGUUGAAGCCUUUGAUCUAGGCUCCACCCAUUAUUUAACUAUGCAUAUCAUUGAAAUGACAUACAAUGUGCUGUGUACAUUACUAUUAUCAAUAUUGUCCUCCAAAAGGUUAUUACAUUAGGAAGGUUGUAUCUGGCUUAUCUCAGUAUUCCUGUUGUACAGAAUCUUCUCUCCAGUAGACAACAGAUGAAUACUAGCUUUGAACCAUUGAGGAUUAUCAACACAUACGGAGCUUUUGGCAGAUUCCAGCUGAACAAGGUCAGACUUAUGCAUCAGAAGUUAAUGCCAUAUUUGGAGAGACUAGUGCCCUCACUGCUAGGAAUGUUGAGGAAAUGUUCAUUGAAAUAACUCGUAAGUUACCACCAGAUUGUUUAACUAGUUUACCAGCUGGUGCCUCUCUCUUAA
Amphimedon queenslandica is the source of this 739-nucleotide long non-coding RNA. RefSeq lists it as uncharacterized. The transcript has 4 exons. The record is from RefSeq and is a predicted model, not a curated record. NCBI's taxonomy places the organism in Eukaryota, Metazoa, Porifera, Demospongiae, Haplosclerida, Niphatidae.